Molecule: ribosomal RNA, 404 nt
Filed under: uncultured bacterium
Lineage: Bacteria
Description: partial 16S ribosomal RNA
Rfam family: Bacterial small subunit ribosomal RNA
Source: RNAcentral
GAUGAACGCUGACAGCAUGCUUAACACAUGCAAGUCAACUGUGGCGGACGGGUGUGUAACGCGUAAAGAACUUGCCUCACAGUUAGGGACAACAUUUGGAAACGAAUGCUAAUACCUGAUACUGUGAGAGAGCUUUGCGUCCCAUUAGCUAGUUGGAGAGGUAACGGCUCACCAAGGCGAUGAUGGGUAGCCGGCCUGAGAGGGUGAUCGGCCACAAGGGGACUGAGACACGGCCCUUAGUCCUACGGGAGGCAGCAGUGGGGAAUAGUGGAAGAUGGACCAAAGUCUGAUCAAGCAAUUCGGUGUGCACGAUGAAGUUUUCGGAAUGUAAAGUGCUUUCAGUUGGGAAGCGGUACCAACAGAAGAAGUGACGGCUAAAUACGUGCCAGCAGCCGCGGUAAUAC